Molecule: ribosomal RNA, 468 nt
Filed under: uncultured bacterium
Lineage: Bacteria
Description: partial 16S ribosomal RNA
Rfam family: Bacterial small subunit ribosomal RNA
Source: RNAcentral
GACGAACGCUGGCGGCGUGCUUAACACAUGCAAGUCGAACGGAAAGGCCCUGCUUUUGUGGGGUGCUCGAGUGGCGAACGGGUGAGUAACACGUGAGUAACCUGCCCUUUACUUUGGGAUAACUUCAGGAAACUGGGGCUAAUACCGGAUAGGAGCUCCUGCUGCAUUGUGGGGGUUGGAAAGUUUCGGCGGUUGGGGAUGGACUCGCGGCUUAUCAGCUUGUUGGUGGGGUAGUGGCUUACCAAGGCUUUGACGGGUAGCCGGCCUGAGAGGGUGACCGGCCACAUUGGGACUGAGAUACGGCCCAGACUCCUACGGGAGGCAGCAGUGGGGAAUAUUGCACAAUGGGCGGAAGCCUGAUGCAGCAACGCCGCGUGCGGGAUGACGGCCUUCGGGUUGUAAACCGCUUUCGCCUGUGACGAAGCGUGAGUGACGGUAAUGGGUAAAGAAGCACCGGCUAACUACGUG